UACAGAGGUCUCAAGCGUUGUUCGGAUUCAUUGGGCGUAAAGGGUGCGUAGGCGGCGCGGUAAGUCGGGUGUGAAAUCUCGGGGCUUAACUCCGAAACUGCAUUCGAUACUGCCGUGCUUGAGGACUGGAGAGGAGACUGGAAUUUACGGUGUAGCGGUGAAAUGCGUAGAUAUCGGGAGGAACACCAGUAGCGAAGGCGGCUCGCUGGGCCAUUCCUGACGCUGAGACGCGAAAGCUAGGGGAGCGAACAGG
RNAcentral lists this ribosomal RNA (253 nucleotides) under uncultured bacterium. Its description in RNAcentral is "partial 16S ribosomal RNA". It matches the Rfam family "Bacterial small subunit ribosomal RNA", at positions 524 to 776 of the family's 1533-position model. The record is from RNAcentral.